UGUCACAGUAAACGAAAGAAGUAGAGGGUGAGGCUGUUACACAGAAAGAAGAGGAAGAAAACGAUUAUACUUUUUUUCGGAGUGAAUGAAGGAGAGAUAACUGUCAUAUUGAAGGAGGAGGAAGGAAGAAGAGGAGGAGACAGAAGAUCUGAGUCACACCAGAGAGAGACCAGACUCUCCUUCUGACAGCAGGAAGAGUCCUUCAGGGAAACCAGACCCCGAGAUGUCCAAACCAGCAGGACGACAUCACUGCUCCCAGUGUGGAAAGAGUUUUACUCAGUUAGGGAGCCUGAGAACACAUAAGAGAAUACACACUGGAGAGAAGCCUUACCACUGUUCCCAAUGUGGAAUGUCGUUUACCCAGUUAGGGAGCCUGCAAACACAUGAGAGGGGACACACAGGGGAAAAGCUUUUCCAAUGUUCCCAUUGUGGAAAGAGUUUUGGCCAGGUAGGAAACCUGAACAAGCAUGAGAGGACACACACAGGUAAGAAGAUGUACCGCUGCUCCCAGUGUGGAGAGAGAUUUACCCGGUUAAGGUACCUGAAAGAGCAUGAAGGAAUACAUACAAAUACACAGGAGGAGAAGACAUACCACUGCUCUCAUUGUGGAAAGACAUUUUCCCAGUCAGAGAACCUGAAAACACAUGAGAGAAUCGAGAGGCUGUGUUCUGACUUGUGUUUUUGACUGAGAAUGUGUGUGUUUGUUUGGGCUGUCAGACUUGAGUUCACUUUGUGUAAUGUUAGUGCACUAUUUUUAAUUGUGAUUAAUCCAUUGUCUGAAAGGGUUGAAAACACACUGAAAACAUCCAGAAUACAUCCUAUAUACAGCUAGAAUCUACAAUGCCAUGUAAACACAAGAUGACAUUGAGGUUAAAUAAAGUGUGAUUUAUCAAUGGAACAUA
Oncorhynchus nerka (sockeye salmon) is the source of this 902-nucleotide long non-coding RNA. RefSeq lists it as uncharacterized. NCBI's taxonomy places the organism in Eukaryota, Metazoa, Chordata, Actinopteri, Salmoniformes, Salmonidae. The transcript has 2 exons. The record is from RefSeq and is a predicted model, not a curated record.